Molecule: unclassified non-coding RNA, 202 nt
Filed under: uncultured Thelephoraceae
Lineage: Eukaryota; Fungi; Basidiomycota; Agaricomycetes; Thelephorales; Thelephoraceae
Description: sequence contains ITS1
Source: RNAcentral
CUGAGUUGUCGACACGAGCUGUUGCUGGUCCUCAAACGGGGACAUGUGCACGCUCUGUUCACACAUCCACUCACACCUGUGCACCCUCUGUAGUUCUAUGGUAUGGCGGACAACACGGUCCUCCUCCUGUAGUUCUGCGUUUUUACACCUACACUGUAGCAAAGUCUUAUGGAAUGUGCGCCGCGUUUAACGCAAUGCAAUA